RNAcentral lists this ribosomal RNA (403 nucleotides) under uncultured bacterium. RNAcentral's name for it is "partial 16S ribosomal RNA". It matches the Rfam family "Bacterial small subunit ribosomal RNA", at positions 28 to 526 of the family's 1533-position model. The record is from RNAcentral.
GACGAACGCUGGCGGCGUGCCUAAUACAUGCAAGUCGAACGCAGUGGGGACGGGUGAGUAACACGUGGGUAACCUCCCAUCAGAGGGGAUAACACUUGGAAACAGGUGCUAAACAGAUAUUGAUGGAUGGACCCGAGGUGCAUUAGCUAGUUGGUGAGGUAACGGCUCACCAGGGCCACGAUGCAUAGCGGACCGGAGAGGGGGAGCGGCAACACUGGGACUGAGAAACGGCCCAGACGCCUACGGGAGGCAGCAGUAGGGAAUCUUGGGCAAUGGACGAAAGUCUGACCGAGCAACGCCGCGUGAGUGAAGAAGGUUUUCGGAUCGUAAAACUCUGUUGUUAGAGAAGCGGUAUCUAACCAGAAAGCCACGGCUAACUACGUGCCAGCAGCCGCGGUAAUUC